CCUACGGGUGGCAGCAGUGGGGAAUCUUCCUCAAUGGGCGAAAGCCUGACGGAGCAACGCCGCGUGAUCUAAUGAAGGCCUUCGGGUUGUAAAGAUCUGUUGACAGGGACGAAUAAGCAAUGCGAAUAGUUUUGUGUAUGACGGUACCUGUUUAGAAAGCUCCGGCUAACUACGUGCCAGCGGCCGCGGUAAUACGUAGGGAGCAAGCGUUAUCCGGAUUUAUUGGGUUAAAAGGGUGCGCAGGCGGCCUGUUAAGUCAGCGGUAAAAGCCCGGGGCUAAACCCCGGCGAGCCGUUGAAACUGGCGGGCUGGAGUUCGAGAGAAGUACGCGGAAUGCGCGGUGUAGCGGUGAAAUGCUUAGAUAUCGCGCAGAACCCCGAUUGCGAAGGCAGCGUACCGGCUCCACACUGACGCUGAGGCACGAAAGCGUGGGUAUCGAACAGGAUUAGAUACCCUGGUAGUC
Molecule: ribosomal RNA, 463 nt
Filed under: uncultured bacterium
Lineage: Bacteria
Description: partial 16S ribosomal RNA
Rfam family: Bacterial small subunit ribosomal RNA
Source: RNAcentral